GUGAAAAUUACAAAAUAUCAACAUGCUAUCAAAUUCAAAUGUCCUUUCAUUUCAAAAUCUCAUUUAUCCAAAAGGACCCUAAAAUAAAAAUAAUCGACAUAAUGUUUUAUUCUAAUAUCUAUCCAAAUGGACCCUUACAUGAUUUCUUUCUAGAAGUGGUGGAAACUAAAAAUGUUAUAAAUACACACUGAACAUUAAAAUUACACACUUAAAAAACUAAGUGCUGAAAAUUUUAAUGCGGGUUCUUAAUUUAAGUUAGCAAACACCCCCUUAGAUUUUUAUGGCAUGAGCUAUGGUCUUGGUUUCCUUUACAUACGGUUUGAUGCAGAGGUAUUUGUGAAGUCAGUUUGCUGAGAGAUAAAAUGGAGUUUAAGUUACUUAAAGAGCAGAAUUGGGUGAAUUUGUUAUUGUUCUGCUGUUAAAGUUAUCAGUUUGUUGCUCUUGGAAAUUUCUGUAACUGAGAGGGGAUAAGAAGUUAAGGAGCUCUAUGCUAUGUCUGCUGCUCCUCUUGAUGAAAUAUAUCAUCGAUUCAUAGGUAAUAGCAUUGGACUCUUAACAUGUGUAGUUACUGGUUGAUGCAGAAUAAGAAUUUGCACAUAUUCAAGCUUCUU
RNAcentral lists this unclassified non-coding RNA (611 nucleotides) under Hevea brasiliensis (rubber tree). The record is from RNAcentral. Lineage: Eukaryota; Viridiplantae; Streptophyta; Magnoliopsida; Malpighiales; Euphorbiaceae.